RNAcentral lists this ribosomal RNA (486 nucleotides) under uncultured bacterium. RNAcentral describes it as "partial 16S ribosomal RNA". It matches the Rfam family "Bacterial small subunit ribosomal RNA", at positions 28 to 507 of the family's 1533-position model. The record is from RNAcentral.
GAUGAACGCUGGCGGCGUGCCUAAUACAUGCGAGUCGAACGCUGGAGACCUAGCUUGCUAGAUCGAAGGAGUAGCGAACGGGUGAGUAAUACAUAAGCAACCUACCCACGAAGACUGGGAUAAUCUCUGGAAACGGGGACUAAUACCGGAUAGGUAAUCGGAAGGCAUCUUCUGGUUAUUAAAUUUUAAAAACACUGUUGGAUGGUCUUAUGUCGCAUUAGUUAGUUGGUGAGGUAACAGCCCACCAUGACGGUGAUGCGUAGCCGGCCUGAGAGGGUGAACGGCGACAUUGGGACUGCGACACGGCCCAGACUCCUACGGGAGGCAGCAGUAGGGAAUUGUCGGCAAUGGGGGCAACCCUGACCGAGCAACGCCGCGUGAGUGAAGACGGCGUUCGGGUUGUAAAGCUCUGUUGUAAGGGAAGAACGGUAGAUAGAGAAUAUCUAAGUGACGGUACCUUACCAGAAAGCCACGGCUAACUACGUG